Molecule: ribosomal RNA, 468 nt
Filed under: uncultured bacterium
Lineage: Bacteria
Description: partial 16S ribosomal RNA
Rfam family: Bacterial small subunit ribosomal RNA
Source: RNAcentral
GACGAACGCUGGCGGCGUGCUUAACACAUGCAAGUCGAACGGACAGGCCCUGCUUUUGUGGGGUGCUCGAGUGGCGAACGGGUGAGUAACACGUGAGUAACCUGCCCUUGACUUUGGGAUAACUUCAGGAAACUGGGGCUAAUAUCGGAUAGGAGCUCCUGCUGCAUGGUGGGGGUUGGAAAGUUUCGGCGGUUGGGGAUGGACUCGCGGCUUAUCCGCUUGUUGGUGGGGUAGUGGCUUACCAAGGCUUUGACGGGUAGCCGGCCUGAGAGGGUGACCGGCCACAUUGGGACUGAGAUACGGCCCAGACUCCUACGGGAGGCAGCAGGGGGGAAUAUUGCACAAUGGGCGGAAGCCUGAUGCAGCAACGCCGCGUGCGGGAUGACGGCCUUCGGGGUGUAAACCGCUUUCGCCUGUGACGAAGCGUGAGUGACGGUAAUGGGUAAAGAAGCACCGGCUAACUACGUG